GACGAACCGUGCGAACGUUGUUCGGAAUCACUGGGCUUAAAGGGCGCGUAGGCGGACGACCAAGUCGGGGGUGAAAUCUUUCGGCUCAACCGGAAAAUAGCCUUCGAUACUGGCCGUCUAGAGGGAGGUAGGGGCGUGUGGAACUUCCGGUGGAGCGGUGAAAUGCGUUGAUAUCGGAAGGAACUCCGGUGGCGAAAGCGACACGCUGGAUCUCAUCUGACGCUGAGGCGUGAAAGCCAGGGGAGCGAACGGG
This 253-nucleotide ribosomal RNA is filed under the name uncultured Gemmata sp. RNAcentral describes it as "partial 16S ribosomal RNA". It matches the Rfam family "Bacterial small subunit ribosomal RNA", at positions 524 to 776 of the family's 1533-position model. Lineage: Bacteria; Pseudomonadati; Planctomycetota; Planctomycetia; Gemmatales; Gemmataceae. The record is from RNAcentral.